GCAUUUCUGAAGAGUCCCACACUAGGAUGAAACGGCUGUCUAAUGC
RNAcentral lists this non-coding RNA (46 nucleotides) under Schistosoma mattheei. The record is from RNAcentral. Lineage: Eukaryota; Metazoa; Platyhelminthes; Trematoda; Strigeidida; Schistosomatidae.